This 468-nucleotide ribosomal RNA is filed under the name uncultured bacterium. RNAcentral's name for it is "partial 16S ribosomal RNA". It matches the Rfam family "Bacterial small subunit ribosomal RNA", at positions 28 to 507 of the family's 1533-position model. The record is from RNAcentral.
GACGAACGCUGGCGGCGUGCUUAACACAUGCAAGUCGAACGGAAAGGCCCUGCUUUUGUGGGGUGCCCGAGUGGCGAACGGGUGAGUAACACGUGAGUAACCUGCCCUUGACUUUGGGAUAACUUCAGGAAACUGGGGCUAAUACCGGAUAGGAGCUCCUGCUGCAUGGUGGGGGUUGGAAAGUUUCGGCGGUUGGGGAUGGACUCGCGGCUUAUCAGCUUGUUGGUGGGGUAGUGGCUUACCAAGGCUUUGACGGGUAGCCGGCCUGAGAGGGUGACCGGCCACAUUGGGACUGAGGUACGGCCCAGACUCCUACGGGAGGCAGCAGUGGGGAAUAUUGCACAAUGGGCGGAAGCCUGAUGCAGCAACGCCGCGUGCGGGAUGACGGCCUUCGGGUUGUAAACCGCUUUCGCCUGUGACGAAGCGUGAGUGACGGUAAUGGGUAAAGAAGCACCGGCUAACUACGUG